This 279-nucleotide ribosomal RNA is filed under the name uncultured Sphingobacteriales bacterium. Its description in RNAcentral is "partial 16S ribosomal RNA". It matches the Rfam family "Bacterial small subunit ribosomal RNA", at positions 524 to 802 of the family's 1533-position model. Lineage: Bacteria; Pseudomonadati; Bacteroidota; Sphingobacteriia; Sphingobacteriales. The record is from RNAcentral.
UACGGAGGGUGCAAGCGUUAUCCGGAUUCACUGGGUUUAAAGGGUGCGUAGGCGGGCAGGUAAGUCAGUGGUGAAAUCUUCGAGCUUAACUCGGAAACUGCCGUUGAUACUAUCUGUCUUGAAUUUAGUGGAGGUAAGCGGAAUAUGUCAUGUAGCGGUGAAAUGCUUAGAUAUGACAUAGAACACCAAUUGCGAAGGCAGCUUGCUACACUAUUAUUGACGCUGAGGCACGAGAGCGUGGGGAUCAAACAGGAUUAGAUACCCUGGUAGUCAAGGGCG